GGGAGACAGGUGGUGCGAUGGUUGUCGUCAGCUCGUGUCGUGAGAUGUGGGUUAAGUCCGCAACGAGCGCAACCCCUACGUUUAGUUGCUAACGCGUGAAGGCGAGCACUCUAGGCGAACUGCCGUUGACAAAACGGAGGAAGGUGGGGAUGACGUCAAAUCAUCAUGCCCCUUAUGUUCUGGGCUACACACGUGCUACAAUGGCCGGUACAGACGGACGCAAAGCCGCGAGGUGGAGCAAAUCCUAAAAAGCCGGUCUCAGUUCGGAUUGCAGGCUGCAAUUCGCCUGCAUGAAGCCGGAAUCGCUAGUAAUCGCAGGUCAGCAUACUGCGGUCGAAUACGUUCCGGGCCUU
This 353-nucleotide ribosomal RNA is filed under the name uncultured Pelotomaculum sp. Its description in RNAcentral is "bacterial SSU rRNA". It matches the Rfam family "Bacterial small subunit ribosomal RNA", at positions 1029 to 1382 of the family's 1533-position model. Lineage: Bacteria; Bacillati; Bacillota; Clostridia; Eubacteriales; Desulfotomaculaceae. The record is from RNAcentral.